Molecule: transfer RNA, 76 nt
Filed under: Candidatus Jettenia caeni
Lineage: Bacteria; Pseudomonadati; Planctomycetota; Candidatus Brocadiia; Candidatus Brocadiales; Candidatus Brocadiaceae
Also listed under: 13 other names
Description: tRNA-Lys
Rfam family: tRNA
About the family: Transfer RNA (tRNA) molecules are approximately 80 nucleotides in length. Their secondary structure includes four short double-helical elements and three loops (D, anti-codon, and T loops).
Source: RNAcentral
GCGCCCUUAGCUCAGUUGGUAGAGCAACUGACUCUUAAUCAGUGGGUCGAAGGUUCGAAUCCUUCAGGGCGCACCA